CACUUUCUCCAGAUCAGCCCAUUCCUUUUGCCGGCCAUCUUCUACACCUUUAACAUCUCAACAUGCAACUUACUUUUAUUUAACCAAAAUCAGCAGCCAACAUUCCUCCCAUUCCUCCUUAGUUCUUCAAUAGCCAAAGAAGAGAUUGACUUCAUUCAAAGCUCUUACAGUAAACCUCAAGAGGUAAAACUUGCUUUAAUACUCCAUUAAUUUUCAGUUUCUAACAUUCUGAUCCAAGCUAUACGUUCUUAUGCUUGAAUUAUAAUUCACAGAUUCCAGCUAGACACCAAAUACCAGCUACAUCGAGGUUACUCCAAAUUUCUCUUUAUAUUUUUUUCUAGUUAUUUCUGAAUCAAGCAUCAAAGAACAACAGAAUACACACGCACACAUUUUAUUAUAUUAUCUAAUCUAUUACAUGUACAAUUAGUUUUAAUAAAAAGAAAUGAAUGAUGAAAGAACAGAUUUUUAAAACCCUAACUUUGCUACUUGUAAAUUCUGGACUGAAAUUUGGAGAGUUCCUUGUGUUUUGCUUGCGUGAGUGUUGUUCGAAUCGUGAGAGGGGAAAGAGGGAGCAAUAGGCGGCUGCUCGGCGCCGGCAACGGCGGCGCGGCGGCAACUGCCGCCCAGUCCCUGUUCUGCCAAAACAA
RNAcentral lists this long non-coding RNA (647 nucleotides) under Salvia miltiorrhiza (redroot sage). RNAcentral describes it as "long non-coding RNA (SMIL_LNC002218)". The record is from RNAcentral. Lineage: Eukaryota; Viridiplantae; Streptophyta; Magnoliopsida; Lamiales; Lamiaceae.